This 314-nucleotide long non-coding RNA is filed under the name Mus spicilegus (steppe mouse). RNAcentral's name for it is "lncRNA (ENSMSIG00000001123.1)". Lineage: Eukaryota; Metazoa; Chordata; Mammalia; Rodentia; Muridae. The record is from RNAcentral.
CCGCGCUGCCUGUCAAGGCGCCGUCGCCCGCCCUCGGCGGCCCCUCCCCAACCGCUCGCUCGCUCGCCACCACAGCAGCAGCGGGCGUCAACAAUCCGCCUCCGGAAGCGGAAACCCCACCUCUCCGGCGCGCCAGGCUUGGGGAGCCGGGCGGGCGGUUGGUGGUGCUUUGUGAGUUGGUUCCUGGGCUACGCGAUGUUUCUCGGGGGUCCUCUGUGCAUGCUGCACCUAAUGGCUUGAACAUGACAGUGAUGCCGAGAGUCAAUCCUGUCUUUCCUCUGGGAGACAGAAAAGACAUCACUUUUGGCCUUUAA